This 908-nucleotide long non-coding RNA is filed under the name Rattus norvegicus (Norway rat). RNAcentral describes it as "long non-coding RNA NONRATT033999". The record is from RNAcentral. Lineage: Eukaryota; Metazoa; Chordata; Mammalia; Rodentia; Muridae.
GGCGGAUGGAGGCUGAGAGGCCUGUCUGUUUCAGGCUGCACACAUGGGGAUUCCUUUUGCCCCUGCCAGUGUGGAGACACUCUCUGGGUUGGCUUCAUUUCUGCCCGUCACUGCUGGAUCCAGGAGGAUCUGGGUCCAAGGACUCAAUGGAGGACCACGGAGUCCACAAGACAAGGUUUGGGAACUUUGGAGCAGAAAGGCUAUUCCUGGCAGUCCUUGGGGUAUGCCCAGGCUUCUGACAGCUAGCAGACCCCAGGACUAACUAGGCUCUGGAACUCAGCCUGGCCAUGACCUGCCGGCGGUGCCCUGCUUGUCAUCUGCAGCCUUGUCAGGGCCAGCUCUGUGCACCUCUGAGUCCCCGACGAGCGCAUUGACUUAUGUAACGCUGCUGAGCCAACAUUUAUGAGUCACAGCCAAUUUGCCGACCUCGAGUUACACUGCGCAGAUGCUCCACGUCACGGCUUGCCUUUGUCUCAGAGGCCGUAAGCAGAUAGCAUAACCCCCGCUUACCAUUAGACAUUUUGCAAAUCAUCUGGGCCCGAGCGUGCCGCGGCCAGAUAGUUCAUUUAUGCUGCGGAUGGUAUGAUUUGUAAAGUAAUAAAUUUCCCGUCUCUCUGCCAGCAAUAAAGUACAGAAAGCAGACGAGGCUGAGGCCCUCAGACACACAUGGGCUCCCUGCGAGACCUGGGGGGUGUUCCGUCAGGUUUUGCUCCUCUGUCCCUGAGUUUGCUGGAUUCUGAGAAAUCAGGUUUUGGCCCAUAAAUCCCCUCUUCCGUCUGGGUGACUCCUGGCCCAGCGCGGAUUUGUUAUUAGCCUGUGUAAUCGGGCCCCCACCAUGACCCGUUUGUUACUUCCUGGGCCCCUCUGGUGCUUUCAUUAGAGGGAGAGCCUAGGCAGACAUCACUGAC